Molecule: ribosomal RNA, 467 nt
Filed under: uncultured bacterium
Lineage: Bacteria
Description: partial 16S ribosomal RNA
Rfam family: Bacterial small subunit ribosomal RNA
Source: RNAcentral
GACGAACGCUGGCGGCGUGCUUAACACAUGCAAGUCGAACGGAAAGGCCUGCUUUUGUGGGGUGCUCGAGUGGCGAUCGGUUGAGUAACACGUGAGUAACCUGCCCUUGCCUUUGGGAUAACUUCAGGAAACUGGGGCUAAUACCGGUUAGGAGCUCCUGCUGCAUGGUGGGGGUUGGAAAGUUUCGGCGGUUGGGGAUUGACUCGCGGCUUAUCAGCUUGUUGGUUGGGUAGUGGCUUACCAAGGCUUUGACGGGUAGCCGGCAUGAGAGGGUUAACGGCGACAUGGGGACUGAGAGACGGCACAGACGGGAACGGGAGGCAGCAGGGGGGAAUAUGGAACAAUGGGAGGAAGCCUGAGGCAGAAACGCCGGGUGCGGGAUGACGGCCUUAGGGUAGUAAAACGCUUUAGCCUGUGACGAAGCGUGAGUGACGGUAACGGGUAAAGAAGCACCGGCUAACUACGUG